This 1656-nucleotide long non-coding RNA is filed under the name Nicotiana benthamiana. Its description in RNAcentral is "long non-coding RNA (NBEN_LNC007009)". Lineage: Eukaryota; Viridiplantae; Streptophyta; Magnoliopsida; Solanales; Solanaceae. The record is from RNAcentral.
UUAACUGAAGAUUUUCACCCCUUCUAUUAUCAUGCUAUCUUUUCAUAACUUCUUAUCUUUAUUUGAAAUUAUUAUUACCUCUCCUGUAAUUUGCUUAGUCAUAAUUGAGGUUAUGAUUAUCUUUCCGCUACUUAUCCUUAAUUGACUUUGUUGUUUAUUCUUCGUAAUUGCCCAAUCUUACAAGAAGUUUAGAUAUUCUAUAUCUUAGUUGACAUGUCCUUAUUUGGAAUUGGUUGGCUCGUGUUAACUCCCUUGUUGUUGAAGUUGAACUGUAUAUUGUGGGAUCGUUGUUACAUAUUAUUUUCUCCCUUAUUGAGGUGUUCUUAUUACGUCUAGUAUUCUCUAUUGUGGUUAUUCCUUAUGGACUAGUUCUACCAUUUCUCUGUGAUUGAAAGUUCUUGAGUUGAUUUACUUGCCGUACUCUUGUAUUUAUUGUCAUUCUUGUUGUUGUACUUCUUGUUGUGAUGCACGAGUUUUCUGCCGUACGGUUAUUAUUGUGAUGCACGAGGUAUUUGCUUCACAAUGGUUGUUAUUGUGAUGCAUGAGGUUUCUGCCGUGCGAAUAUUUUUGGAGUGCACAAGGUUUUUGUCGUGUUAUUGUUACUUGCACAUGCAACGUGAUAAGGCGGGAUAUAUAUGUGGGUUGUGCAUGUGGCGAGACAAGGUGGGAAUAUUUUUAUGCACGUGUGGCGAGACAAGGCGGACACUUACUUUAUUAUUGCAUACAUGGCAAGACAUGGUGAGAACAUUAUUAUGCACGUGUAGCGAGACAAGGAAGUACUUACUUUAUUAAUGCACACGUGGCGAGACAAUAUGAGAUGCGUCAAGGAAUGAUUUGUAAUGACCUGGGGACAUUAUUGUUGUUGAUAUUUGUGUAGUGGUGCACUUACCUAUGUGAGUUCUAUUUCAUGGAAAAUAGUAGAAAAACAUUCUACGCGAUGUCAGUUUCUUUUUUUCUAUAAUUACUAGCUGGCAUGAACUAUGUUAAGACACAUACACAAGCAUACACGUAGUUAAGCACUCUUAUCGGUUAAUAGGAUUCUUGAAAUUAUUGAGUAUUAAAUUGUAAUGAGACCACAUGAUGCCAAGUAUUAGGGUUUAGGAAUUGGGAUUCGCGAGUGGGGAAUAUUCUGAGGUUCGGUACUUCGUGGAGUUUAUUGGCUAACACAUGAUGUGAAAACUGUCGUUUUUGGUUAAGUUGUUACUUGUCUUUCCUUAUUCUGUGAUCAUCGGAUUUAAACUGUGUUCUGUUUAUUCUACUGUGUUAUUAUUAUGGUAUUUUUUUUGCUAGAUGUUUUCUUUUCUUACUGGGAAUUUCUGUAUCAUUUUGUCAUUCUACGUAACCGUUAUAUAGAUAUCGUAGUAUGUUGUUUCUACCCUCAUACUUGUUCAGGUUAUUUAGUCCAUUAGGUAGCUUGGCUGGUCACUGAUGUUAGUAUUGAUACUUGCUGGGUACUGUUGUGGCGUACUCAUACUAUACUUUUGCACAUUUUUGUGGAGAUCCAGGUAUUGCAGAGUAAGUCGAUCGUUAGCUAGCUGUGCAGAUAUUGUGGUAGAGACUCAAGGUAAACCCACUGUUGUGUUCGCAGGCUUCGGAGUCGCCUUCUUAUUUUGUAUUUACGUUGUUCACUCUUAUUUCGAGACAGUUGUAUUUUAG